UGUCCAGUAACUCCUAUCCCUACCUCCCCGUGGUGUCACCUGGGAUACGAGUAACCUUAGGGACGAUCGAGUAACCUACCCUGGUGGGACCUUGGUCGUAUGCUGACAGGGAAGG
This 115-nucleotide ribozyme is filed under the name Aedes aegypti (yellow fever mosquito). RNAcentral's name for it is "drz-agam-1 ribozyme". It matches the Rfam family "drz-agam-1 ribozyme". Lineage: Eukaryota; Metazoa; Arthropoda; Insecta; Diptera; Culicidae. The record is from Rfam by way of RNAcentral.